GGGUAACCUGCCUGUAAGACUGGGAUAACUCCGGGAAACCGGGGCUAAUACCGGAUGGUUGUUUGAACCGCAUGGUUCAAACAUAAAAGGUGGCUUCGGCUACCACUUACAGAUGGACCCGCGGCGCAUUAGCUAGUUGGUGAGGUAACGGCUCACCAAGGCAACGAUGCGUAGCCGACCUGAGAGGGUGAUCGGCCACACUGGGACUGAGACACGGCCCAGACUCCUACGGGAGGCAGCAGUAGGGAAUCUUCCGCAAUGGACGAAAGUCUGACGGAGCAACGCCGCGUGAGUGAUGAAGGUUUUCGGAUCGUAAAGCUCUGUUGUUAGGGAAGAACAAGUACCGUUCGAAUAGGGCGGUACCUUGACGGUACCUAACCAGAAAGCCACGGCUAACUACGUGCCAGCAGCCGCGGUAAUACGUAGGUGGCAAGCGUUGUCCGGAAUUAUUGCGCGUAAAGGGCUCGCAGGCGGUUUCUUAAGUCUGAUGUGAAAGCCCCCGGCUCAACCGGGGAGGGUCAUUGGAAACUGGGGAACUUGAGUGCAGAAGAGGAGAGUGGAAUUCCACGUGUAGCGGUGAAAUGCGUAGAGAUGUGGAGGAACACCAGUGGCGAAGCGACUCUCUGGUCUGUAACUGACGCUGAGGAGCGAAAGCGUGGGGAGCGAACAGGAUUAGAUACCCUGGUAGUCCACGCCGUAACGAUGAGUGCUAGUGUUAGGGGGUUUCCGCCCCUUAGUGCUGCAGCUACGCAUAGCACUCGCUGGGGAGUACGGUCGCAGACUGAACUCAAGGAUGACGGGGCCGCACAGCGUGAGCAUGUGUUUAUCGAGCACGCGAGACUAACAGUCUGACAUCUCUGACAUCCUAGAGAUAGACGUCCAUCGGGGCAGAUGAAGUGGUGCAUGGUUGUCGUCAGCUCUGUCUGGAAUGUAGCUAAGUCCGCACGAGGCACUGACUAGUGCAGCAUCAUGACCUUAGGACUGCGUCAAACG
Molecule: ribosomal RNA, 993 nt
Filed under: Bacillus sp. (in: firmicutes)
Lineage: Bacteria; Bacillati; Bacillota; Bacilli; Caryophanales; Bacillaceae
Description: bacterial SSU rRNA
Rfam family: Bacterial small subunit ribosomal RNA
Source: RNAcentral